GAAACAGUGGCUAAGACUGGAUAGGAAGAUAAAAGGCAUCUUUUAUCUUUUAAAAGACCUAGUAAUAGGUAUGCUUUAGGAGGGGCUUGCGCCAUAUUAGUUAGUUGGUAGGGUAAUGGCCUACCAAGACGAUGAUGUGUAGCUGGACUGAGAGGUUGAACAGCCACAUUGGGACUGAGACACGGCCCAAACUCCUACGGGAGGCAGCAGUAGGGAAUUUUCGGCAAUGGAGGAAACUCUGACCGAGCAACGCCGCGUGAAUGACGAAGUACUUCGGUAUGUAAAGUUCUUUUAUCAAGGAAGAAAAGCAAAUGGCGAACCAUUUGUUUGCCGGUACUUGAUGAAUAAGCCCCGGCUAAUUAUGUGCCAGCAGCCGCGGUAAGACAUAAGGGGCAAGUGUUAUCCGGAAUUAUUGGGCGUAAAGGGUGCGUAGGCGGUCUAGUAAGUCAGUGGUGUAAUGGCAACGCUUAACGUUGUCCGGCUAUUGAAACUGCUAAACUUGAGUUAGAUAGAGGCGAGUGGAAUUCCAUGUGUAGCGGUAAAAUGCGUAAAUAUAUGGAGGAACACCAGAGGCGUAGGCGGCUCGCUGGGUCUUAACUGACGCUGAGGCACGAAAGCGUGGGGAGCAAACAGGAUUAGAUACCCUGGUAGUCCACGCCGUAAACGAUGAGUACUAAGUGUCGGGUUAAACCGGUACUGAAGUUAACACAUUAAGUACUCCGCCUGAGUAGUACGUACGCAAGUAUGAAACUUAAAGGAAUUGACGGGACUCCGCACAAGCGGUGGAUCAUGUUGUUUAAUUCGAAGAUACCCGAAAAACCUUACCAGGUCUUGACAUGUUUUUGCAAAAUGAUAGUAAUAUCGUGGAGGUUACCAGAAACACAGGUGGUGCAUGGUUGUCGUCAGCUCGUGUCGUGAGAUGUUAGGUUAAGUCCUAAAACGAGCGAAACCCUUAUCGUUAGUUGCCAGCACGUUAUGGGGGGACUUUAACGAGACUGCCCAUGAUAAAUUGGGAGGUGAGGAUCACGUCCAAUCAGCAUGCCCCUUAUGACCUGGGCUACAAACGUGAUACAAUGGGGUUACAAAGGGUAGCUAAAACGCAAGUUCUUGGGCAAUCCAAAACAGUCCCCGCCGGAUUGAAGUCACUCCCACUCCUUGAAAUUGGAAUCCCUCUUAAUCCCGAACAACGUCGCCGGGGAAAAUUGGUACCCGCC
Molecule: ribosomal RNA, 1214 nt
Filed under: Candidatus Phytoplasma citri
Lineage: Bacteria; Bacillati; Mycoplasmatota; Mollicutes; Acholeplasmatales; Acholeplasmataceae
Description: bacterial SSU rRNA
Rfam family: Bacterial small subunit ribosomal RNA
Source: RNAcentral